AAGUCGUAACAAGGUUUCCGUAGGUGAACCUGCGGAAGGAUCAUUAACAUUUGUAUUUGAUUGUGGGUGGUGGUGUUUGUUGUUGUGUGUUUUUGCAUGCAACUCAUCAUCAUCUCAACCCCAUUGUGUGCAUGUUUUGUGUGUGUGUGUGUGUGCGAGUAGUUGAAGAGAGGUCUUGUACCUCACUUUUACCUCACUCUCUCACUACACUCCACUUCUUUCACUUUCACACCCAAACCCCUUCCUUCUUCUCAUCACACUAGACUGACUUUACACCUCGUUUUACUCAGGCUCAACUGAGCAAAACAUCAAUCAGCAUACAACUCUUAGCAACGGAUAUCUAGGCUCUC
This 350-nucleotide unclassified non-coding RNA is filed under the name fungal sp. RNAcentral describes it as "partial internal transcribed spacer region". The stretch from base 1 to 46 matches the Rfam family "Eukaryotic small subunit ribosomal RNA", at positions 1786 to 1831 of the family's 1831-position model. The record is from RNAcentral. Lineage: Eukaryota; Fungi.